RNAcentral lists this ribosomal RNA (479 nucleotides) under uncultured bacterium. Its description in RNAcentral is "bacterial SSU rRNA". It matches the Rfam family "Bacterial small subunit ribosomal RNA", at positions 297 to 765 of the family's 1533-position model. The record is from RNAcentral.
AGGAUGAUCCGCACACUGGGACUGAGACACGGCCCAGACUCCUACGGGAGGCAGCAGUGGGGAAUUUUGGACAAUGGGGGCAACCCUGAUCCAGCCAUGCCGCGUGAGUGAAGAAGGCCUUCGGGUUGUAAAGCUCUUUCGGCCGGGAAGAAAUCGUGGUCUCUAACAUAGGCCAUGGAUGACGGUACCCGGACUAAGAAGCACCGGCUAACUACGUGCCAGCAGCCGCGGUAAUACGUAGGGUGCGAGCGUUAAUCGGAAUUACUGGGCGUAAAGCGUGCGCAGGCGGUUUUGUAAGACAGAUGUGAAAUCCCCGGGCUUAACCUGGGUAACUGCGUUUGUGACUGCAAAGCUAGAGUACGGCAGAGGGGGGUGGAAUUCCUGGUGUAGCAGUGAAAUGCGUAGAGAUCUAGGAGGAACACCGAUGGCGAAGGCAGCCCCCUGGGGCCUGUACUGACGCUCAUGCACGAAAGCGUGGG